RNAcentral lists this ribosomal RNA (692 nucleotides) under bacterium KS106. RNAcentral describes it as "bacterial SSU rRNA". It matches the Rfam family "Bacterial small subunit ribosomal RNA", at positions 63 to 752 of the family's 1533-position model. The record is from RNAcentral.
CGAGCGGUAACAUUUCUAGCUUGCUAGAAGAUGACGAGCGGCGGACGGGUGAGUAAUGCUUGGGAACAUGCCUUGAGGUGGGGGACAACCAUUGGAAACGAUGGCUAAUACCGCAUAAUGUCUACGGACCAAAGGGGGCUUCGGCUCUCGCCUUUAGAUUGGCCCAAGUGGGAUUAGCUAGUUGGUGAGGUAAAGGCUCACCAAGGCGACGAUCCCUAGCUGGUUUGAGAGGAUGAUCAGCCACACUGGAACUGAGACACGGUCCAGACUCCUACGGGAGGCAGCAGUGGGGAAUAUUGCACAAUGGGCGCAAGCCUGAUGCAGCCAUGCCGCGUGUGUGAAGAAGGCCUUCGGGUUGUAAAGCACUUUCAGUCAGGAGGAAAGGUUAGUAGUUAAUACCUGCUAGCUGUGACGUUACUGACAGAAGAAGCACCGGCUAACUCCGUGCCAGCAGCCGCGGUAAUACGGAGGGUGCGAGCGUUAAUCGGAAUUACUGGGCGUAAAGCGUACGCAGGCGGUUUGUUAAGCGAGAUGUGAAAGCCCCGGGCUUAACCUGGGAACUGCAUUUCGAACUGGCAAACUAGAGUGUGAUAGAGGGUGGUAGAAUUUCAGGUGUAGCGGUGAAAUGCGUAGAGAUCUGAAGGAAUACCGAUGGCGAAGGCAGCCACCUGGGUCAACACUGACGCUCAUGU